This 52-nucleotide transfer RNA is filed under the name Scatoglyphus polytrematus. Its description in RNAcentral is "tRNA-Gln". The record is from RNAcentral. Lineage: Eukaryota; Metazoa; Arthropoda; Arachnida; Sarcoptiformes; Acaridae.
UAGGACAAAGUGUCAAGCACAUUAAUCUUUGAAGUUAAAAGCUAAAUCCUAA